ACUUUUUCAGUGAACGAGCA
RNAcentral lists this non-coding RNA (20 nucleotides) under Arabidopsis thaliana (thale cress). The record is from RNAcentral. Lineage: Eukaryota; Viridiplantae; Streptophyta; Magnoliopsida; Brassicales; Brassicaceae.